UUCUCCUGCUGAGGAGAGACUGCAUUAAGUUAGACUAAUGAAUACUGAAUCAUUUUCUCAUCCUCAGGGUGGACACCCCUGUCAGGGCUGAGUCACUGUGCAAGCAGUAUGCUGAAAUGAUUUAAAAUGCAGCAGCCUCUAGUGCUGGUGACAGAUGGAUAUAAACUUUGGGCAUGAUACACACUCAUUUCUAGGCCUUCACAAGCCACCAGUACAAAUAUACAAGAAAACAAAAGAUAAACUGUGAUAAAAGUCCCCCAUUUGUGCAUACUUGAAGAAAAUGUAAAGUGGACACUUUUUCACAGCCUUUUCAAAUCACCAAAGAGGACUCUCUUCUAAGGUCGUCAAAGGUGGAUACUUUAUUCCAAGGUUACUUUGCUGCUUUUUUUCUUUCCAGAAGACUGCAGAACCCCCUGCAAUAAGCAAUGUGUUACCUCUGCCUAAUGAAACCCCAUCUUUUACAUUUUCUGCUGAAAACUUCUUCUGUUGCACUCACAACUUUACCUCGUUAGCUGGAGGUUGUGGUGGCCUACAGCUGGCCUGUAGGCCUCAAAGUAUAAACAAUUAUAAAAUUAUAACAGAAAUAUGUGAUCACUUACAUAAUUACCUUACUUAUAUAAUUCGACCAGUAAGAGCAGGCCCAGGCCAUUGGAGACUCAGGCUUCUAUUGCCUGGCUGACCAGGAUUAACCUCAUGGGAUCCCAAGCUUGCUUAUUGAGUGUUGUUCUGAUGAAGGCUGUUGUAGGAGUACUGUCACACCCAGCACGGUAAAGACAUACUGGACCCUGAUCAGAAAGAUGACUUCUUUUCACAAACCCCUUUCUUGAGCCUGCAAAUGGAGCUUAAUCUCCACAUCAAUUUGGUACUCCUUUCCUCUUCUUGGUUUAUCUGCCUCAGCAUCAACUCAUGGAAACUCUCUGGGCAUCAGUGGAUCAAGAUAAACCAGAAAGGUUUAAGGAUGCAAGGAGAUGCAGCACUAUUAAGGAAAUGCUUCUGUUGGACUCAGCUCUUUCCAGGUUAUGGGUUUCAAGCAUUGCAGAACAUAGGGCAAAAAAAAUUUCUAUUCUAUACAGAAUGAAUUGCUCACUGGCCAUUUUCCAUGUGGGAUGGUGAAAAACAUGAUCUGGUCCUUCUUCCCUCAUAGAAAAUGUCAUCCUUUCUCUUGAAGUUUCUAAUAUCUAGAAAACCAAGAAAUUGUCCUUCCUACUCUCAGCUAUUCUAGUAUUCCAGUAUAUAGCUGUUAGAGAUAUUUUCAUGUCAGUCAUUUGAUUUAAGGAACCACUGAAGUCUUGCACUGUUGUAUCAAGUUCUGAAGGCACUUUUGUCUCAAGUGCUGAAGGCUUGCAAAUUUCAGCAGGACUUCACUCACUUGUGUUCUGCAUUUGCAUAGAGGUAGAUAAUUCAGGAGCAGACCAAAAUGAAAGCAAGACUGCAGAAGUUACAGAGAUGAACAGGUGAACCUUUCCUACACAGAGGAGAGUCCUUGAGGGCUUCAAGAGGAAAGCUCUCAAUGUGUCAUGUUCUGCAGGCUUUUCCCACCUGUGUUUGGCUCUCCGGCCUCUUUCAUUGCCGGGUAUACAGGCUUUUUUUCCUCCCUUAUUCAAAUGGUUGUUAUAAAUUCACUACUUCACCAUUUCACUCAGAGCUGUAAAUUGUUACCUGUGAUCUGAGAAAUAAUCAACUAUUUAUCCUGAUCAUGAAAAAUCUCUAUUGUACUUACUGUGUGGGAGGACUUUCACAUAUGGUGAGUUUACCCAACCUUGUAUAAAUACUGUAGCCAGGUGUGACAGCUGAGACAGGCAUCCCUUGGCUUCUGCAGUCCCUGGGUUUCUGCAAACUUUUGAUUAUUUUUGCUGGCAGACAGAGUGCAGAAAUUUAAUGGUGAAGUAUAAACAGCCUUAAGGAAAUAGAACAUUUGAGGGAUGGUGUACAUAGGAGAAAAGAGAGAAGUAAGUAGAAUUAAAAUGUAGCAGACCCCCUGAGAGAAAUUAUUGCCUGGCAAUUUAGAGUUAUUUCCAUUUUUAAGUAGUCCUUGUGAGGAAGAGCAAGAGUCAUUUUCAGUCUAGCAUUUGAAUAUUGAACUAAUGGAGAAAUGGCAGCUCUGCAGUGGCUUCGGCAGAGAUCCAAGUGUUUUUUCCAGAGAGACCUUUUUCUGCUCCAUAUUUAAAUUACAUUUGUCUCAGAACUGCUGGAGUCUAUUUUAAGAUAAACAAAGAUUUCAUUUAGCCUUGUGAUAUUUUCAAGCUUCACCAAGAAGCAGUGACAGUAUGAAGGGAUCAAACACUCUAGUGAACAACAGCUUUGGGGAAAAGGCCUUGGGUUAGCAGAUGCAGGACAUUAAAUCCAGGAGCACGUACACCACCGACACUUUGGCCUACGUGUCAUUAAAAACUAUCACUGAAUCUCCUACAUAAAGCACCCAAGUAUGCCCAAGGAGGGUGUGGAGGUGCUGAGAGAAGCAUCUGCUGUAAACUGGCUGGCUGGCAGAAGCGAGGAGUGACCCGUGUGCCUCUGAGUAACCUCCCACACUGCAGACCUUGUGGCACUGUGAUUGCAGCCCCAAGGUCCGGGUCUGUGCCUAGGCACACAUUCAUGUCUUUUGCUUUGAAGCACCUGAGAAGAAGGGGCCCACAGAGCAGUGUAUUUACAGACUGACAGCAGGAGGAUAUGUUGGGUGCUCUGGGGCCUGACAGGAGGUUAAGUGAAGACAGUACACUCAGUAGGGCAAGGUUUGCAAAUCUUUGGAAAGGGAACAUGCCACAAGCUAUCAGAGUUACACUCAGGCUCUUUGUCUUGGAUUCACUCUAAAGACACACCAAGAGGCCAGAGGACUCCUUCUUCUGCAAUGUGGUCCAUCAGGACCCAGCAACAAACCAAGAAACUGGGUUACAAGACAGCACAAAUAUAAAACAGGUCACACAUCUCACUGGCUGAGGGCACCCUAAUAUUAUGUUUGAACAGAAAGAUAUUUGCAUCACUCAGUUGUCUAUAUUUUUUACCAAUGAGGUUGAGUGACACAAUGCUACCCUGGGUUGUCAAUGCUUUGGGCUGAUGUACUAUGCUUCUGUUACAGACCUAGGGAAAACAAGGAUAAAUUUUUAAAGAUUGAUUUAAGGUUUUUAUUCCAAUGGAAUUUUGCUAUAAAAAUCUAUGACUUGAGUAGCAUGUGUGUAUUCAACACAGCAUUUGGUGUCAGAAGACAGGAAGAAUUUGUGACUUUUGAAUGCCAAGAUAAUAUCCCUUCCACCCGUAAAAUACCUGUAAUAUCCCUGCCAGCUGUAAAAGCUGUGUAACAGAAUGAGGUCACUAAUCUAUUGGCCCAGGAUGGACUUGCAGCACCUAUUUAGUCAAACAAGUCAAUAUCCAGCUCAUUUCUUUCCUUCUCCUGAAACAUUUACAUGUUAAGUAUCUUCCUACUUUUAAUGCACAGAAAUUCCUUACGUUUUCAGAAGCAUAAUUUUUAAAGAACACUGAAAAAUUGAAAGUGCUUUGUUACUUCUAUAAAUGAAAGACAGUUUGAGAAUUUGGUUUUUGUUUGGAAGGUAUAUUUUAAAAUGAGAUUUAAUCCAGGCAACCAGAAAGCAAAUCUGCAAUGUGCAGUCAGUGCAUAGCUGAACAGUAAUUUUGUGAGGUUUGGCUCAAAAUGCUGUAAAAAUAAGCUUUUCUAGAGAAUGCCAGCAUCUCCAAAUCCCUUUUUAAAGCAUAAUGAAAUAGCUUCCUUUUCUAUUCCUAUUCUUUCAAUCAAAAGGAAAAAACCCCACAUUUCCACGUGCAAUGUUAGCUACUGUUCCUAUUUUAAUCGCAGGGAUGGGAAUGUAGGGCAGUCUUACUGUUGCAGUCAGUGGAUAUAAAAUCACACUUCUGUGGCAGGACUACACCCGACAUUAAAACAGGGCAGGGAUGUACAAUCCAAGCAAGGCUGAGUGGAGCUGUUUAGCCUGGCAGUGCAUGUUUAUUUAGCUGGAAAGAAGCUAUGGAUCUAGAGAAGGGCAACUAAAAUUAUUAAAGAUAGAGCAGUUGCCUACAUAAAGAGACAACUACAACUCUCAGCUGGGAGAAGGAAAAACUGGAGGGGGUGCUGUGGUUUAAGGCCAGCUGGAAAUUAAGCACCACGCAGCCAUUUGCCCAAUCCCCUUCUUCCCCACAACAUGGUGGAACUGGGAGGAGAAUCAAAAUAAAACUGGUAGGUUGAGAAAAUAACAGUUUAAUAGAGAAAGAAAAACAUGCACACACAAGCAAAGAAAAACAACAAUAAAAAAUGUACCACCUUCCAUGGGCAAGCAGGUGUUCAGCAUCUCUAGAGAGCACAGCCCCAUCAUGUGUGACACUGACCUGAUAAGAGAAACGCCAUCACGGCAAAUGUCCCUCACUUCCCCUUUUUUUUCCCCAACUUUGUAUACCGAGCAUGAUGUCAUAUGGUCUGGAGUAUCCCUUUGGUCAGUUGGGGUCACGAGUACAGGGUGUGUCCUUUCAACCUCCCAGGCACCCCCAUUCUCCUCGCCAGUGCAGCAAUAGAAAAAGCAGAAGUGGCCUUGGGUUUGUGGAAGUCCUCCUCAAUAAUAACAAAAACAUCUGCGUAUUAUCAACUCUGUAUUCAGCACAAAUCCAAAACAUGGUCCCAGUACCAGCCACUGUGAAGACAAUUAAUUGUACCCCAGCCAAAACCAGCACGGAGGGCUAUGAUGAAAACAUGAAGGUGCUGGUGAGUGAAAUGAAUAAUCUAUUGUUCAACAAAUUCUGUGGGACAAGAACUAGAUACCAGCCAAUGAAACUCAGAAAAUCAGUAGGAGAAUAUUGGCUUCAUCAUGUUCAUGGAGGGAUUCAUGGUCAAUUCGUGGUCAAAAAAUCCAUAAAUAGAUACUAAAGGGAGAUGGUCAUGGACGUGUCCUCUAGCAACAUGUAUCCAGUGAUUGUGAAUGCUGGGAGACAACCAAGAGAAAUGGGCAGGGUUUUUCUUCCCAGUGUCAGGCAGAAGAAAGGUCUAGGCAGAUCACUGUUGGGAUGCAUAGUGUUUCUCAUGCUCACACUGGGGGACAUACACACUCUAGAAUAACUGAAGUGUACCUACACCAUGCUCUGUCAUGUGACACACCAUGUGUGUCAUGUCCCACUCUCUCACACAUGGUACCGAUGUGGGAUUAUUUCUAGAAACAAAAAAAAUUAUUUCUAGAAACAAAAAAAUACAACUAUGAACUAGAUUCAAAAGAUGCAUGCAAGGGAUUCCUGUGUACCAGUUACUGAGCAGAAUGAAAGUACUGCCACUUUGCAGGCUACUAGCCAAAACAUGAGUUGACCUGGCAUCAAAGAGGCCAACCACACAUAAUACACCAUAGUAAGACUAAUUUCUGCUCUAAAGAAAUGAAACCCAAAACUUCAAUUUGAUCUUGUCUUUUUUUUUUAUACAGAGGACACAUUACCAGUUUCACUGGUUGCUAUCUGAUGAAUCUAUGCCCUGUAUUAACCCUGAAGUAAAAAUUCAAAUGGAGCCUUCUAGUGCCACUCCUGCUGCCUAUGUAUGGCUAUAGAAAAAGACAGUUAAUUUCUAAGAGUACAUGUUCAGGAGUUCUGGAUCUGGCUACAUUAUUGCUGAAUUAUUAAUAUUUUCCGUAAAUUUAUUGGGAAUAUUGGGUAUUAUGUAAUAUCAUAAAUUAAGCUAGCUUUUUGAGAUUGACCUAAGUGGCACUCCUGAGAGUUUAGACCAUAACUUUUUCUAUUCCUUAUUUUCUCCUAUCUGUAAAAUGGAGACUCCACAUGUUGCAGAACUUUUGCUGUUAUUAAUGUUUAUACAGUGCUCAGAAAAAGAAACACCAUACAAAGGCAAAAUAUUAUUGCUUUUAUAAAACUUCAUGGACUUGUCUUUUUUUUUUUUUGUUUUUAAUUCCCAUUUGACCUUUCAAAGGGGUGAAAGCUGAACUUUCUCCUUUUCCAAAAUAUCAUUUCAGGUCUUAUGAUUUAAAACCUUUAGCUUCUUUGCUUUAGCGUUAGUCAGCACUAAUGGCUAAAGCACAUAUAUCCCAUCUGAUAUUUUGAAAUUGAGGACUAAACAUUUUUAAAACAAUGAUGGCUAGGAAACAGACAUACUUUAGCCAUACUUUACUGGACCGCAGAACUUACAAUGACUAGAUUUUAAAAUAGUAAUUUUGUUAAACUCUUAUGGUAUGUAGUAAUUCAAGAGCAACACUUUCCUACCUUAUCAUUUCUUGUGUUCACCCUCUCUUUUUUCAGGUAACCACCUGACUCACACCACAAAAGCCUUGGAUAUGGCUGUAGGUGUAUGCAGUACCUGCACACACAUCCCUCAACAAUGACACAGCAGUUUCCUUCCCAAAAAGCACCCUUCCAGAAAACACCAUCUUCUAAGAGAAUACAGUAUAUUUUUUAGGCCACAGUUUCAGCAGAUGCAGUUAUGAAUAACUACAACCUGUUAAAUUUUUUUAAUACUAUGUUAUGUGAAGAUAAGUGUUUAUCUGGCAGUGCAGAAGUUCAGUUGUCAAUCAUCAGUUAGAUAAGCAGAAUGUUUAAGCCUAUCACAUCUCUUUUGUAAAGUAAUGAUAUUAUGACUGUAAAGAAACCAGCACAAACAGUUCUGACAUCAUAAGACAACUACAAUAAAGUUUGAUACAUCAGCAUGACAACUUUUAACAGACUGUUUAACAUGACAAUUUUUAUAAAGUAAAAUGUGGAUUUCAGGAAUGCAUUUCUGGCUGUGCAAAUUUUUAAUGAUCUGUAAAAUUACAUUCAGCCACAUAAAUUAUUCAUAUAUUUGUAUACAAAGAACUAAAUUGGGAAAAUGUCUUUAAAUACAUUUAAAUAACCACUUUGUUGAUAGCAAAAUAUCGAUAUUAUUUUUAGAAGAAAUGAUGGUCUGAUUUUAUUGCCCUUUGUAAGAAAAAUGCAAGGUGACAUUGUCUUCUGAAAGAAAUUUUAACAUAAAGGUUAUUAUUCAAACGUAUAGUCAAUAUAUAAAAGUUGCUUCUUCAGGAGACUUCACCUGCAUAAAAGUCACUCUAUCUUGCCAUUAGAACUCAUUGACAAAUGUUUUUAAUUUAUGUUCAGUGUAAUGGAACAACUCUGUCAUUUCUUCCUGUGUGGACAGUUAUUGCCACUUAGGAGUUUUAAGUCACAUUUAACCUUGGACAAUACUGAUUUUUCCUUUUGAUGGUCCCUGGACCAAGAAAUGAUAUCUUGGUUGCACUCAGCAAUUUUGUCUUUAGUGCCCAUCUUCUUCUUGGUUCAUUUAUGUAUUUCCCAAGGUGUAUUUUCUCAAUGUAAGCUUAUUUAAUAAAGGAAAUGGACAAUUUCCAUGCUCUUAGUUAUUUGUUGCCCUAAUGUUUUAAGUAUCUUUGAAUUUCUCUAUAUUUUUUCCAUGCUGUCAUGUUUGUCAGUGCUGACAUAAUGUAUUUGGCCAUACAGUCUCACAUUUGGCCCCUAACAUUCCAUAUCCAUCAAGAAUAUAAAUGCAUCAUAAAGCUUCUAUCUGUUACAGCAUAUCACACCUUUUAUUUGUAAGCUUGUUGGGCUUUGUUGGCAUCUUAGGAUAUUCACUUUACCACAGACUGGUAACAUCUUUUUGAGGGGGGGAGAUCGUGUAUAUAAGGAAUACAGUUCUGAAAGGACAACCUCAGGCAUCACCCUAAUAAGGCUCAGGGAGUAACUAGCAAGGCUGAGCAUUCAGCAGGUUUUAAAAGUAGUAUGCUAAAAACAAUAAUAAUCCAGACUGGACCUUACAAAAGUGAGGAAACUUCAGUGGAUUCAGACAUAUAUGUAUACCUGGAGAUAUUCAGAAUAUUAUGU
Molecule: long non-coding RNA, 7794 nt
Organism: Passer domesticus (house sparrow)
Lineage: Eukaryota; Metazoa; Chordata; Aves; Passeriformes; Passeridae
Exons: 4
Source: RefSeq, a predicted model, not a curated record